UGUCUCCUCCACCCUCCUCCAAAGGUGGAUUGAGCCCGAACGACAGUUCGGGCUUUUUUUC
Molecule: small RNA, 61 nt
Organism: Burkholderia glumae BGR1
Lineage: Bacteria; Pseudomonadati; Pseudomonadota; Betaproteobacteria; Burkholderiales; Burkholderiaceae
Rfam family: Betaproteobacteria toxic small RNA
About the family: Overexpression in amino aid rich medium attenuates growth, suggesting role in repressing amino acid intake and metabolism.
Source: Rfam